CUGAUCUCCAUGUCUUGCUUGUUCCUAUCUCCUGUGUGCUCUCCACACAUGGUAUCUCGAACCAGAACUGAUUUAGGAAAAAUGACGUUUGCCAUUAGUGCAGCAGCCUCAUGGAAAAAUCUGUAGUGUCUACUGUAAAUGAGCAUGUAUGCUCAGCUGAUCUACCAGUACAACCAAAAAAUGGGGAACAAGAAGUUUCAUGAGACAGUUGGCAACAGA
Long non-coding RNA from Monopterus albus (swamp eel), 219 nucleotides. RefSeq lists it as uncharacterized. Lineage: Eukaryota; Metazoa; Chordata; Actinopteri; Synbranchiformes; Synbranchidae. The transcript is spliced from 3 exons. The record is from RefSeq and is a predicted model, not a curated record.